Molecule: non-coding RNA, 421 nt
Organism: Anolis sagrei ordinatus
Lineage: Eukaryota; Metazoa; Chordata; Lepidosauria; Squamata; Anolidae
Source: RefSeq, a predicted model, not a curated record
UCGAAGGCCCGCUCCACCAAGGCAGGAGGCCUCCCUCUACCUGAGCGCCCGCCUCUGGAAUGAUCUCGGAACUACCAUGCCCAAGAUCACCAGGCUGGGCCACAGCAACGCGUGGCAGGGGAUGGCUAGUUAUUUCUAAAUCAUACUACAGACAGCGACAGACCACAAACUUCAGAUCUUGCAAAGGUGUUUAGUAACCACAGCAGAAUCCACCCAGUUCAAGAAGAGGUCAUUUGGCACCGACACUCCAACUGUCUCCUUGUGACUAAGCAUGGAUUGUCUGUCUUAGCAAAACAAUAUUUCACAAACCAAACACAUAAGCGUUAGGAAGAAUUCACCUGUUGUUCUUGUGUAACUGGAAAUUCAAGGAGAACAAAAUAAACUCAGCCAAGGUUGUUCCUGAUGCACUUAGAUCAUGUUA